RNAcentral lists this long non-coding RNA (515 nucleotides) under Anas platyrhynchos platyrhynchos (common mallard). Its description in RNAcentral is "lncRNA (ENSAPLG00000019321.1)". Lineage: Eukaryota; Metazoa; Chordata; Aves; Anseriformes; Anatidae. The record is from RNAcentral.
AUGCAGUGCCUAAGCAUAAACAACAGCAUAAACAGUAAGAAUGAAAUGUCCACACUUCUUAUAAGGAAUAUAGUUCCAAAUUACUUCACUGUUCAGUAUUUUGUAAAGAAUGUCAGAAAGAAUAAUAAAACUUAAUGUUGAAGAAGCAUGAAGAAAAGCAAGUACCAAAGAAGAUUUUACAGAUGUAGGCACAGCGAUGUACUAAGUGAAGACAAAUCACUUGUUUUCUGAAGACCUCAACUGAAAUAGUGAUGAAGUAAAAAAGAGAAUGGAGACUCCUGCAUUUCUUACCAUCUUUAUCAUUAUCUAAUCAAUAACAAGUUUUUUUCUCUUUGCAGCUUCUACCAGGUUAUAUUUUCUGUCUUUUCUUUGAAAGUCUUUAUAUACACUGAAAGUUAUAAACGCAAUACAAACUCAUCAAAAAGGACAUGUAAAAACAACCUGUCUCUUGUCCUUCUGCUUCUUCCUUGUUCUUCCUAAAUGCAAAUGUGUAACCCCCUCAUAUAAAAAAUAAA